RNAcentral lists this ribosomal RNA (450 nucleotides) under uncultured bacterium. Its description in RNAcentral is "bacterial SSU rRNA". It matches the Rfam family "Bacterial small subunit ribosomal RNA", at positions 29 to 524 of the family's 1533-position model. The record is from RNAcentral.
AACGAACGCGGGCGGCAUGCCUAACACAUGCAAGUCGAACGAGACCUUCGGGUCUAGUGGCGCACGGGUGCGUAACGCGUGGGAAUCUGCCCUUGGGUUCGGAAUAACAGUUAGAAAUGACUGCUAAUACCGGAUAAUGUCUUCGGACCAAAGAUUUAUCGCCCAGGGAUGAGCCCGCGUAGGAUUAGCUAGUUGGUGAGGUAAAGGCUCACCAAGGCGACGAUCCUUAGCUGGUCUGAGAGGAUGGAUCAGCCACACUGGGACUGAGACACGGCCCAGACUCCUACGGGAGGCAGCAGUGGGGAAUAUUGGACAAUGGGCGAAAGCCUGAUCCAGCAAUGCCGCGUGAGUGAUGAAGGCCUUAGGGUUGUAAAGCUCUUUACCCGGGAUGAUAAUGACAGUACCGGGAGAAUAAGCCCCGGCUAACUCCGUGCCAGCAGCCGCGGUAAU